GCUGGGCAUGGUGGUGCGUGCCUGUAGCCCCAGCUACUCAGGAGGCUGAGGCAGGAGAAUCACUUGAACCCGGGAGGCAUGGAGGGUGCAGUGAGCCAACAUGGCACCACUGCACUCCAGCCUGGGUGACAGAGCAAGACUCUGUCUCAA
This 150-nucleotide non-coding RNA is filed under the name Nomascus leucogenys (northern white-cheeked gibbon). The record is from Rfam by way of RNAcentral. Lineage: Eukaryota; Metazoa; Chordata; Mammalia; Primates; Hylobatidae.